GAGCGAUUCUCUUCGGAGAAGAGCGGCGGACGGGUGAGUAACGCGUGGGUAACCUGCCCUGUACACACGGAUAACAUACCGAAAGGUAUGCUAAUACGGGAUAACAUAUAAGAGUCGCAUGACUUUUAUAUCAAAGAUUUUUCGGUACAGGAUGGACCCGCGUCUGAUUAGCUUGUUGGCGGGGUAACGGCCCACCAAGGCGACGAUCAGUAGCCGACCUGAGAGGGUGAUCGGCCACAUUGGAACUGAGACACGGUCCAAACUCCUACGGGAGGCAGCAGUGGGGAAUAUUGGUCAAUGGGCGCGAGCCUGAACCAGCCAAGUCGCGUGAAGGAAGAAGGUUCUAUGGAUUGUAAACUUCUUUAGUGCGGGAACAAAUCGGCCACGCGUGGCCAGUUGAGCGUACCGCAAGAAUAAGCAUCGGCUAACUCCGUGCCAGCAGCCGCGGUAAUACGGAGGAUGCGAGCGUUAUCCGGAUUUAUUGGGUUUAAAGGGUGCGUAGGCUGUCUGGCAAGUCAGCGGUCAAAUGUCGGGGCUCAACCCCGGCCUGCCGUUGAAACUGUCGGGCUAGAGUGGAAGUGAGGUAUGCGGAAUGCGUGGUGUAGCGGUGAAAUGCAUAGAUAUCACGCAGAACUCCGAUUGCGAAGGCAGCGUACCAACCUCUUACUAACGCUGAGGCACGAAAGCGUGGGUAUCGAACAGGAUUAGAUACCCUGGUAUUCCACGCAGUAAACGAUGAAUACUAACUGUCCGAGGGGCAACCCUUGGGUGGUACAGCGAAAGUGUUAAGUAUUCCACCUGGGGAGUACGCCGGCAACGGCGAAACUCAAAGGAAUUGACGGGGGCCCGCACAAGCGGAGGAACAUGUGGUUUAAUUCGAUGAUACGCGAGGAACCUUACCCGGGCUCAAACGCCUGAGGAAUGGCCGUGAAAGCGGCCAGCCGGCAACGGUCUCAGGCGAGGUGCUGCAUGGUUGUCGUCAGCUCGUGCCGUGAGGUGUCGGCUUAAGUGCCAUAACGAGCGCAACCCCCGCGUCCAGUUGCCAUCAAGUGAAGUUGGGCACUCUGGACGGACUGCCGGCGCAAGCCGUGAGGAAGGCGGGGAUGACGUCAAAUCAGCACGGCCCUUACGUCCGGGGCGACACACGUGUUACAAUGGCGUGGAACAGCGGGAAGCCACCUGGCGACAGGGCGCGGAACCCGAAAACACGUCUCAGUUCGGAUUGGAGUCUGCAACUCGACUCCAUGAAGCUGGAUUCGCUAGUAAUCGCGCAUCAGCCAUGGCGCGGUGAAUACGUAACCGGGCCUUGCACACACCGCCGGUCAAG
RNAcentral lists this ribosomal RNA (1327 nucleotides) under uncultured bacterium. Its description in RNAcentral is "bacterial SSU rRNA". It matches the Rfam family "Bacterial small subunit ribosomal RNA", at positions 64 to 1401 of the family's 1533-position model. The record is from RNAcentral.